RNAcentral lists this ribosomal RNA (440 nucleotides) under uncultured bacterium. RNAcentral describes it as "partial 16S ribosomal RNA". It matches the Rfam family "Bacterial small subunit ribosomal RNA", at positions 338 to 795 of the family's 1533-position model. The record is from RNAcentral.
CCUACGGGAGGCAUCAGUGGGGGAUAUUGCACAAUGGGGGAAACCCUGAUGCAGCGACGCCGCGUGAGUGAAGAAGUAUUUCGGUAUGUAAAGCUCUAUCAGCAGGGAAGAAAAUGACAGUACCUGACUAAGAAGCCCCGGCUAACUACGUGCCAGCAGCCGCGGUAAUACGUAGGGGGCAAGCGUUAUCCGGCUUUACUGGGUGUAAAGGGAGCGUAGACGGCAGUGCAAGUCUGGAGUGAAAGGCGGGGGCUCAACCCCGGGACUGCUUUGGAAACUGUGCAGCUGGAGUGCAGGAGGGGCAAGCGGAAUUCCUGGUGUAGCGGUGAAAUGCGUAGAUAUCAGGAGGAACACCAGUGGCGAAGGCGGCCUGCUGGACUGUAACUGACGUUGAGGCUCGAAAGCGUGGGGAGCAAACAGGAUUAGAUACCCUUGUAGUC